RNAcentral lists this long non-coding RNA (889 nucleotides) under Oryzias sinensis (Chinese medaka). Its description in RNAcentral is "lncRNA (ENSOSIG00000014379.1)". The record is from RNAcentral. Lineage: Eukaryota; Metazoa; Chordata; Actinopteri; Beloniformes; Adrianichthyidae.
GUUGGAAUUCGUCAGCUAAGCCAAAGAGACGGAAAAUGCCACAAAAGCGCAGCGGUCGAUUCAGCCGUUGACAGAGGGGAUUCAAAAGCAGUCGACGAAGCACUUGAAUGCUCUGUCAGAAGUCCAUGGUCCUGCGAAGAACACAACACGCUUCGACGGUCGACGUACGUAGUCCUCUCUGAACAACCGCCUGCUCUGUGGCCAACGCUCCCCCCGCCUUCUUCUGCUGCCGUGCGAUCUGAUUGGCUGAGAGUGGCUCAGGGUGGUGCGCACAGCAUCAGCAACAUCACUCAGUGAGAAGUCACAAUGGUGGGUUUAUGACUGCGUGUGCGCUCUUGACCUGAAGUAAUUGCAGUUAGAUGAGAUGUCUGGUGACGGCUGAUGGUUGCUUUGUUUAUCUGUCCAGGCGCCAAAGAAGUUUGUGGGGACGUCGGUGAAAGAAGCACUCUGAUUCUUAAUCGAGGACAAAUGCGACAAAUGUGGGAAUGCAAAGCUCACUGAUAGCUAGAUGUCUUUUUUGGCGAUGAUAUUGGUUCAAAUUGUUAUUUUUUGGUGGAAAAUUAAGAUCAAAAUUAUCACAGUAUAUUUACUCCACGCUCCACUCCAUUCUGAUGCAUCCACUUGUAGACAAAUCAUCUGGCUCAUUGCACCACUAAUGCUAGGUUGGGUUGUGAAGGACUGUAAGCUAGCGGGAAAAUGUGUAAACAAAGAAAUGAUGGGAAAUGAGGGAAAGCUUCCUCUGUGCCAACGGUCCCGCCCACAACUCAGGAAAGUUUCUUAUGAACUCCUGCUGCUCUGCAGAAACUAUGUCCUAGUAAACAACACUGUUUUUUUUUUUUUGCUUAAAAAUUGCAUAAUCAUAAUUAAAAAAACACUUGGAACACUUUGA